AGCAGGAUGCGGCGUUGACCCCGCAUCCGGCAAUCAACGUCUGAUGCGACGCUUGCGCGUCUUAUCAGACC
Molecule: non-coding RNA, 71 nt
Filed under: Escherichia coli
Lineage: Bacteria; Pseudomonadati; Pseudomonadota; Gammaproteobacteria; Enterobacterales; Enterobacteriaceae
Also listed under: 7 other names
Description: Nucleoid-associated noncoding RNA 4 (CssrE)
Rfam family: Nucleoid-associated noncoding RNA 4 (CssrE)
About the family: In E. coli small RNA transcribed from repeated extragenic palindromic element (REP325) called nucleoid-associated ncRNA 4 (nRNA4) collaborates HU protein in condensing the DNA. The secondary structure but not the sequence of the RNA is important in nucleoid condensation. Also identified in Shigella as CssrE.
Source: RNAcentral